RNAcentral lists this ribosomal RNA (253 nucleotides) under uncultured bacterium. RNAcentral's name for it is "partial 16S ribosomal RNA". It matches the Rfam family "Bacterial small subunit ribosomal RNA", at positions 524 to 776 of the family's 1533-position model. The record is from RNAcentral.
UACGUAGGGUGCGAGCGUUGUCCGGAAUUGUUGGGCGUAAAGAGCUCGUAGGCGGCUUGUCGCGUCGGAUGUGAAAGCCCGGGGCUUAACCCCGGGUCUGCAUUCGAUACGGGCAGGCUAGAGUUCGGUAGGGGAGAUCGGAAUUCCUGGUGUAGCGGUGAAAUGCGCAGAUAUCAGGAGGAACACCGGUGGCGAAGGCGGAUCUCUGGGCCGAUACUGACGCUGAGGAGCGAAAGCGUGGGGAGCGAACAGG